CUCUUUCUUUCUGUCUGAAAGUAAAAUAAAUAAAAUCUUCUUAUAAAAAAGAAAGAAAGAAGAUUUUGUUAACCAAGCUUUGAAGGACCGCACACCACUGUAAAAUGUAAGAUGUUUUUAUCCCCCUUCAGAAUCAAUUUUUGCCACCCUUGAGAUUGUAAGUCCUGACCUCUGUAGUCUGACAUUUACCCUCCUGGAAAAAAACAUCAAAAACCACCACUUUACCU
Molecule: long non-coding RNA, 227 nt
Organism: Phyllostomus discolor (pale spear-nosed bat)
Lineage: Eukaryota; Metazoa; Chordata; Mammalia; Chiroptera; Phyllostomidae
Exons: 3
Source: RefSeq, a predicted model, not a curated record